RNAcentral lists this small RNA (132 nucleotides) under Pseudomonas floridensis. Lineage: Bacteria; Pseudomonadati; Pseudomonadota; Gammaproteobacteria; Pseudomonadales; Pseudomonadaceae. The record is from RNAcentral.
UGUGCCAACGGAUCGGUACAGGCUUUCACGGACGAGAGCCAAGGACAUCGCAGGAGGCGAUUCAUCAGGACGAUGAAAAAGGAUUACAGGGAUUAAGGAAAAAUGUGGGCGGGUCAUACCGCCCCUUUUUAU